GUUGAUAGAACAAUGUAGAUAAGGGAAGUCGGCAAAAUGGAUCCGUAACUUCGGGAUAAGGAUUGGCUCUAAGGGUCGGGCUCGCUGGGCCUUGGGGGGAACCCCCUGGAGCAGGAGGGCACUAGCCGGGCAACCGGCCGGCGCCCCCCAGCACCGGGGUGGGGACGCCCUUGGCAGGCUUCGGCCGUCCGGCGGGCGCUUAACGACCAACUUAGAACUGGUACGGACAAGGGGAAUCUGACUGUCA
Molecule: ribosomal RNA, 247 nt
Filed under: Aspergillus versicolor
Lineage: Eukaryota; Fungi; Ascomycota; Eurotiomycetes; Eurotiales; Aspergillaceae
Description: partial 28S ribosomal RNA
Rfam family: Eukaryotic large subunit ribosomal RNA
Source: RNAcentral